GUGGGGAAUUUUGGACAAUGGGCGCAAGCCUGAUCCAGCAAUGCCGCGUGUGUGAAGAAGGCCUUCGGGUUGUAAACUGCUUUUGUACGGAACGAAACGGUCCUGGUUAAUACCUGGGGCUAAUGACGGUACCGUAAGAAUAAGCACCGGCUAACUACGUGCCAGCAGCCGCGGUAAUACGUAGGGUGCAAGCGUUAAUCGGAAUUACUGGGCGUAAAGCGUGCGCAGGCGGUUUUGUAAGACAGGCGUGAAAUCCCCGGGCUCAACCUGGGAAUUGCGCUUGUGACUGCAAGGCUGGAGUGCGGCAGAGGGGGAUGGAAUUCCGCGUGUAGCAGUGAAAUGCGUAGAUAUGCGGAGGAACACCGAUGGCGAAGGCAAUCCCCUGGGCCUGCACUGACGCUCAUGCACGAAAGCGUGGGGAGCAAACAGGAUUAGAAACCCGUGUAGUCC
RNAcentral lists this ribosomal RNA (450 nucleotides) under uncultured bacterium. RNAcentral describes it as "bacterial SSU rRNA". It matches the Rfam family "Bacterial small subunit ribosomal RNA", at positions 354 to 796 of the family's 1533-position model. The record is from RNAcentral.